RNAcentral lists this ribosomal RNA (508 nucleotides) under uncultured bacterium. Its description in RNAcentral is "bacterial SSU rRNA". It matches the Rfam family "Bacterial small subunit ribosomal RNA", at positions 28 to 513 of the family's 1533-position model. The record is from RNAcentral.
GAUGAACGCCGGCGGUGUGCCUAAUACAUGCAAGUCGAACGCGUUGGCCCAACUGAUUGAACGUGCUUGCACGGACUUGACGUUGGUUUACCAGCGAGUGGCGGACGGGUGAGUAACACGUAGGUAACCUGCCCCAAAGCGGGGGAUAACAUUUGGAAACAGAUGCUAAUACCGCAUAACAAUUUGAAUCGCAUGAUUCAAAUUUAAAAGAUGGCUUCGGCUAUCACUUUGGGAUGGACCUGCGGCGCAUUAGCUUGUUGGUAGGGUAACGGCCUACCAAGGCUGUGAUGCGUAGCCGAGUUGGGAGACUGAUCGGCCACAAUGGAACUGAGACACGGUCCAUACUCCUACGGGAGGCCAGCAGUAGGGAAAUCCUCCACCAAUGGGCGCAAGCCUGAUGGAGCAACAACCGCGUGAGUGAAGAAGGGUUUCGGGUUGUAAAGCUCUGUCUUCAGGACGAUAAUGACGGUACCUGAAGGAGGAAGCCACGGCUAACUCCGUGCCAGCC